RNAcentral lists this ribosomal RNA (406 nucleotides) under uncultured bacterium. RNAcentral describes it as "partial 16S ribosomal RNA". It matches the Rfam family "Bacterial small subunit ribosomal RNA", at positions 30 to 526 of the family's 1533-position model. The record is from RNAcentral.
AUUGAACGCUAGCGGGAGGCCUAACACAUGCAAGUCGAACGAGUGGCGGACGGGUGAGUAAUGUAUGGGAAACUGCCUGAUGGAGGGGGAUAACUACUGGAAACGGUAGCUAAUACCGCAUACCAUCAGCGGGGCCGAGAUGGGAUUAGCUAGUUGGUGGGGUAAAGGCUCACCAAGGCCACGAUCCCUAGCUGGUCUGAGAGGAGGACCAGCCACACUGGAACUGAGACACGGUCCAGACUCCUACGGGAGGCAGCAGUGGGGAAUAUUGCACAAUGGGGGAAAGCCUGAUGCAGCCAUGCCGCGUGUAUGAAGAAGGCCUUCGGGUUGUAAAGUACUUUCAGCAGGGAGGCGUUACCCGCAGAAUAAGCACCGGCUAACUCCGUGCCAGCAGCCGCGGUAAUAC